CCGAAUGGGGGAACCCACCCGCAAGGGUAUCCUGCACUGAAUACAUAGGUGUAGGAGGCGAACCCGGGGAACUGAAACAUCUAAGUACCCGGAGGAAAAGAAAUCAAUUGAGAUUCCCACAGUAGCGGCGAGCGACCUGGGAUCAGCCCUAAAGAACUUGGUGUGAUAGCGGAACGGUCUGGAAAGUCCGGCAAUAGAGGGUGAUAGCCCCGUACGCGAAAUCUAUCCUUGUUUUAUUCGAGUAGGUCGGGACACGUGUUAUCUUGACUGAACAUGGGGGGACCAUCCUCCAAGGCUAAAUACUACUGACGACCGA
RNAcentral lists this ribosomal RNA (316 nucleotides) under uncultured bacterium. RNAcentral's name for it is "bacterial LSU rRNA". It matches the Rfam family "Bacterial large subunit ribosomal RNA", at positions 114 to 487 of the family's 2925-position model. The record is from RNAcentral.